This 540-nucleotide transfer RNA is filed under the name uncultured cyanobacterium. Its description in RNAcentral is "partial 16S-23S ribosomal RNA intergenic spacer". The stretch from base 212 to 284 matches the Rfam family "tRNA". Lineage: Bacteria; Bacillati; Cyanobacteriota. The record is from RNAcentral.
CAGGGAGACAACAAAAUGUUUAAUAUUAUUAUUUUGUCACCUUAGGUCGAUCGGUAUCUCACGUUCUUAAUUUUUUAAGAAUUUCAUUUCCUAAGUUUUUCUAGGUCACACCCAUUAUUUUUCCUGGGCCACUAGCUCAGGUGGUUAGAGCGCACCCCUGAUAAGGGUGAGGUCCCUGGUUCAAGUCCAGGAUGGCCCAUAUCUCUAUGUUGGGGGUAUAGCUCAGUUGGUAGAGCGCCUGCUUUGCAAGCAGGAUGUCAGCGGUUCGAGUCCGCUUACCUCCACUGAUUACCACCUCUUCCAUAACCGGUAUAAAGGAAUUGUUUUGAGUUGUGAUCAUUAUUCUGAACGAAUCUAGCUUCCUAAUGAAAUCAUUAAGAUGCUGGACUCAUUGAAUUAAUUUCAUUGUUUUCAGAGAACCUUGACAACUGCAUAGAUUUUUUAAAAGACAAUAAGCAUCUUUAAUGAUGCAGAUUUAUUAUUUGUGCGAAUGCAUUAAUAACAAUUCUAUUAAGCUGAUGCUUCAAUUUUGAAGUUAUU